CCUACGGGAGGCAGCAGUGGGGAAUAUUGCACAAUGGGGGAAACCCUGAUGCAGCGACGCCGCGUGAGUGAAGAAGUAAUUCGUUACGUAAAGCUCUAUUAGCAGGGAAGAAAAGGACGGUACUUGUGCAAGAAGCCGUGUCUAAGUACGAGCCAGCUGCCGCGGUAAUACGUAGGGGGCCGGCGUUAUCCGGAUUUACUGGGUGUAAAGGGAGUUUAGAGGGUUCGCCAAGUCUGGAGUGAAAUGCCGCAGUUUAACUGCGGAACUGCCUUGGAAACUGGCGAACUAGAGUGCGGGAGGGGUAAGCGGAAUUCGUGGUGUAGCGGUGAAAUGCGUAGAUAUUAGGAGGAACCCCGGUGGCGAAGGCGGCUUACUGGACCGAAACUGACGUUGAGGCUCGAAAGCGUGGGGAGCAAACAGGAUUAGAUACCCUUGUAGUC
This 440-nucleotide ribosomal RNA is filed under the name uncultured bacterium. RNAcentral describes it as "partial 16S ribosomal RNA". It matches the Rfam family "Bacterial small subunit ribosomal RNA", at positions 338 to 795 of the family's 1533-position model. The record is from RNAcentral.